AAAUAAAUUUUUUAUGGUUUAUAAAAUUUAUUUUGAGUUUAUUUUACAUAUAAAUUUUAGUGUUAAUUAUUAAUUAUUUAAAAAAUAUUUAAUAUUUAGGUAGUAAUUAGUUUUAAAAAAUUUAAGAAAUUAAGAUUUAGUAAUAUUAAAAUUAAUAACUAAUUUUGUGCCAGCAGUUGCGGUUAUACAAAGGUUAAUUUAAAUUUUUUUUUAGUGAUUAAUAAAUAAUUUAAUAAAAAUAAUUUAAAAUUUAAAUUAUAAGGUGAAAUUUUAAUUUAAUAAAAAAUUAUUUUUUAAAUAUGAUUUAAUAAAUUUUAUAAAAAACUAGGAUUAGAUACCCUAUUAUUAAAAAUUUAAAUUAAUAAUACUUAAAUAGUAGAUAAUUAUUUAUUAAAACUUAAAUAAUUUGGCGGUAUUUUAGUUCAUUUAGAGGAAUCUGUUUAAUAAUUGAUAAUCCACGAAUAAAUUUACUUAAUUUAUUAUUUUGUAUAUCGUUGUUAAAAAAAUAUUUUUUUAUAAAAUUAAUAUUUAAAAAUUUUUAAUUUAAAUUAAAUCAGAUCAAGAUGCAGAUUAUAAUUAAGAAUAUAAUGGAUUACAAUAAAUUUAUUUUAAUUGAAUUUUAAUGUGAAAUGAUUAAAUGAAAUUGGAUUUAAAUGUAAUUUUAUAUAAAUUUUUAAAAUGAUUAAAUAUUAAAAUAUGUACAUAUUGCCCGUCGCUUUCAUUUAUAAGUUGAAAUAAGUCGUAACAAAGUAGGGGUACUGGAAAGUGUUUCUAGAAAGAU
This 781-nucleotide non-coding RNA is filed under the name Amplypterus mansoni. Lineage: Eukaryota; Metazoa; Arthropoda; Insecta; Lepidoptera; Sphingidae. The record is from RNAcentral.